This 463-nucleotide ribosomal RNA is filed under the name uncultured bacterium. RNAcentral describes it as "partial 16S ribosomal RNA". It matches the Rfam family "Bacterial small subunit ribosomal RNA", at positions 28 to 507 of the family's 1533-position model. The record is from RNAcentral.
GACGAACGCUGGCGGCGUGCUUAACACAUGCAAGUCGAACGGAAAGGCCUUUUCGGAGGUACUCGAGUGGCGCACGGGUGAGUAACACAUGGGUGAUCUGCCCUGCACUCUGGGAUAAGCCUGGGAAACUGGGUCUAAUACCGGAUAGGACCGCACUUUAGUGUGUGUGGUGGAAAGUUUUUUCGGUGUAGGAUGAGCCCGCGGCCUAUCAGCUUGUUGGUGGGGUAAUGGCCUACCAAGGCGGCGACGGGUAGCCGGACUGAGAGGUUGGUCGGCCACAUUGGGACUGAGAUACGGCCCAGACUCCUACGGGAGGCAGCAGUGGGGAAUAUUGCACAAUGGGCGCAAGCCUGAUGCAGCGACGCCGCGUGGGGGAUGACGGCCUUCGGGUUGUAAACUCCUUUCGCCAGGGACGAAGCGUUUUGUGACGGUACCUGGAGAAGAAGCACCGGCUAACUACGUG